RNAcentral lists this ribosomal RNA (620 nucleotides) under uncultured Verrucomicrobiota bacterium. Its description in RNAcentral is "bacterial SSU rRNA". It matches the Rfam family "Bacterial small subunit ribosomal RNA", at positions 80 to 680 of the family's 1533-position model. Lineage: Bacteria; Pseudomonadati; Verrucomicrobiota. The record is from RNAcentral.
UAUUCUGUUGUGGGAGCGGCGCAAGGGUGCGUAACACGUGGGUAAUCUGCCAUGAAGUUUGGGAUAACCCCGAGAAAUCGGGGCUAAUACCGGAUGUGACAGCCUGGAGGCAUCUUUGGGUUGUUAAAGUUGGGGACCGUAAGGCCUGACGCUUCAUGAUGAGCCCGCGGCCUAUCAGCUAGUUGGUGAGGUAACGGCUCACCAAGGCUAAGACGGGUAGCUGGUCUGAGAGGACGACCAGCCACACUGGAACUGAGACACGGUCCAGACACCUACGGGUGGCAGCAGUCGAGAAUUUUUCACAAUGGGCGCAAGCCUGAUGGAGCGACGCCGCGUGGGGGAUGAAUGGCUUCGGCCCGUAAACCCCUGUCAUUUGCGAGCAAGGCGCAUUAUUUAAAAGAUGAUGCGUUGAUAGUAGCGAAAGAGGAAGGGACGGCUAACUCUGUGCCAGCAGCCGCGGUAAUACAGAGGUCCCGAGCGUUGUUCGGAUUCACUGGGCGUAAAGGGUGCGUAGGUGGUGAGGUAAGUCGGAUGUGAAAUUCUGGAGCUUAACUCCGGAACGGCAUUGGAAACUACCUUGCUGGAGGGUUGGAGGGGGGACUGGAAUUCACGGUGUAGCA